This 525-nucleotide ribosomal RNA is filed under the name Phloeophana longirostris. RNAcentral's name for it is "partial large subunit ribosomal RNA". It matches the Rfam family "Bacterial large subunit ribosomal RNA", at positions 1834 to 2600 of the family's 2925-position model. Lineage: Eukaryota; Metazoa; Arthropoda; Insecta; Hemiptera; Phloeidae. The record is from RNAcentral.
UUAUUGUUUAUAUAAGGUAGUUUCUGCUCAAUGAUAUUUAUUUAUUAAAUAGCUGCAGUAUUUUGACUGUACAAAGGUAGCAUAAUCAUUUGUCUUUUAAUUGUAGGCUUGUAUGAAUGGUUUGAUGAAAUACUGUCUUUCUUUAUUUUAAUUAAUGAAUUUAACGUUUCAGUGAAAAGGCUGGGGUGUUUUUGUGGGACGAGAAGACCCUGUAGAAUUUUAUUAUGAUAUUUAUUUAUUGAAUAUAUUAAUAUUUAUUAUUUAUAUAUAAAUGGUAUAAUUUUGUUGGGGUGACAGGGAGAUUUUAAUAACUCUCUUUAAUUUAUAAAUUUUAUUUAAUUUAUAUGAUCAAAUGAUCCCUUAUUAUGGAAGGAUUAGAAGUUUAAAUUACCUCAGGGAUAACAGCGUAAUUCUUUUGAAGAGUUCUUAUCGAUAGAGGAGUUUGCGACCUCGAUGUUGGAUUAAAAUAAGUCUUAGGAGUAGCAUUUUAAGUUACUAGGUCUGUUCGACCUUUAAAUUUUUACA